Numida meleagris (helmeted guineafowl) is the source of this 3317-nucleotide long non-coding RNA. RefSeq lists it as uncharacterized. The record is from RefSeq and is a predicted model, not a curated record. NCBI's taxonomy places the organism in Eukaryota, Metazoa, Chordata, Aves, Galliformes, Numididae. The transcript has 3 exons.
CGUUGGCGGCGCGAGAGCCGUGUGAGAGGGCGCGUGAAGGGCUGUCGAGGAAAGGCGGUAGCGGCGUUCCUGGCGGCCUUCGCACGUCACGUAUUUGCAGUGAGCGCCGCGUGGCAGCAGCCCCGUGCAGGCAGCCCCAAGGCGGGCACAGCACGCGGAGCCGCUGGGCAGCCAGCCCGCACCUGCAGUGAUGAAGGUGAGGUGGCGCGGCUGAGGGCCAGGUACUUAUCAGAGCUCUUGACCUCACGCAAAGGUUUGAAAUUGGAAAUACAUAUGUCCGGAUGACUAAAACAUGAAAAACAGAUAGGAGCAGCAGCAUGUAAAGUAUAGUGAACUAGAAGCAUUAAUAGAAAUAUUUCCGCUAUAGCAGCUAUUAAAUGAUUUUUUUUACUGUUUCUAAGAAAAACCCAUAUGUUUAUAGGAUUUUUUCCCCCAAUUAAAGUGUGUGUGUGUGUCUUUCUCUAAAUAUUAUUUAGACUCACACACAGAGCGCAUGUAUAAAAUUAUCUAUCAGCAAAGCAAAGGCUGUUGCUCCUUUUGUGUCUUGCCCCGCUGGCAGGCAGGAAGGGGCCCCAGUCCAACACCACUGACAACUUGGCAGCAGCUGCCCAGGGCACGGGCACAGUUUGGAGGGAUGGUCCAUGCCCCACUGAGGCCUGUGGAACCGCAGCCCCGCCUUCCUGCUGUACGCACCAGGACUUUGCCAGCAGUUCAGAACAAAAGAAAAUAUCUACCAGCAAAAGAAGACAGCAGACUGGAAGUGGAUCUUUGUGCGUUUUGAGCAUGUUCUCUGAUGGGCUGACAGCACCCACACCCUCCUCCAGACCCCACAGGAGACCGUGUGUAUGUGAGAAGCCCGUGGCACGGCAGGUCAGCCUUGCAUGAGAGGAAUUUGUUGACUGUGCUGACCCAAGUGGGCUCACAGAAGUCUUUCAGCCUCUGUUAACACCGCUCAGAUCAGUCCUUCUGACAUGCAGAUAUUCCCCCCUCCCAUUCUGCAGACCUUGUUCCACUUAAACUCAGCAGAAAUUUUUAAAAAGCCCAGUAAAUUACUUGACAAAUUAAGUCAUAUUUAUUGAAUGCGUUUUAUUUCAACAACCAAAAAAUUCUAACAGCCUAACAAUGCACAUAAGUUAAAAAUUAAUUAUCACUUAGUGAUAACAAAGAUAAAGUUGAUUUACAUGGAAAAAAAAGAACAUUUACAAUAUGUUAAUCCUUAUUCACAUUGUUGAUACCGCAAUAAAACACAAUUUGUUUUUUUAUUUUUUAUUUUUUAUUUCACAAAAAAGGCGGAAAAUUGUGCUUUGUUAAGAGGCACUACAAGAAAAGUUUCUUUCUCCAAAUAGAUAUUAUAUGAUGGAUAUUGAAUAAAUAGACAUAUAUGCAUUGUAAUUCGCAAAGUUCUGGCAAGACCACAGGCUAAAAUGCCCACAGAUUCACUUAGAAUCACUGCAAAACUGGCAGUGAAAUUUAAAAUAAAAAGGCAAGACUCAGCAUUGAAAAAAUACCUAAUAAAAUUUUUGGUUGAAGUGUAAAAGAUACCAAAUGUUGAUGCCAUCAUCAGAUGAACAACUUAACGUAGCUUGGCAAAAUUCAGUUUCCUUUCAAAUGUGUGGAGUGAUUUCAGCUACAGGAUAAGAAGACAGUUUUGAAAGAGUAGCUCUGAGAGAAACAAAGCAGCAACCAUCGAAAUUCUGAUUAAAGCUGCAGCAUACUACAGAAGUAAAGGAUGAAGAGCAAAAAGGGGUAUUAAGUACGCAACCCACCAAUAUUUUGCAAAGGUAUAUGAGAUUUAUGCAGAGAUACUCUUACAUUUCAAACAUUACUUUUGAAAAAAUCCCUUAAAAAUUCCAGAGGUUACUGAGCAGCUAGAAUUAGCUUGUAUUGCAACGUCUUCUCCCUGUAUAUUGUCUGUUCUGAGUAAAUAUCUACACAUAGAGGUUCGUUUUUCAUUUUUAUCUCCUAGCUUUUAUACCUUUCAAAUAUAUAAAUAGUAUUAACAGUUAUAUUACAUCGCCUGGUGUAGUAAACAGAAAAUAACUUUCAAAGUGAUAUUGCAUGAGGUCUUUGUCAAGGUUACAUGAAAAGCCUGCGAAGAAAAAAGAAACAACCAGAAACCUUGGUGGUACAGUUACGGUUGCAGUUUGAACAGGCGUCUGAAAUCAAUCCAGCUGCAAAGGCAGUAGCGAAGGUGAGAUCUUUCCUUGGAAAUCCUUGCACAGAAGUGAAAAGUAAAUACUACUUGGUGCCCCUUGCGACACGAUGCCUCAAAACAGGUGGAAACUAUAGUAGAUUGCAGCUUUCGUGCUCACGCCAUUGAAAAGUCAGUCAGUAUUAGCUCUGCUUUAUAUAACUUGAUGUAGUUGCUAGCUAGGUUGCUGCGAAACCCUUCGAGGAGGAGGUGAGUGAGUGUGAAGGGCCAGGUGCCCCGUGGCAGGGAGGUCUCGGGCGCUCAGCGCUGCAGGAGCUGCAGACUGGGAGACCCGUGGCUGAAAACACUUCAUUUCACUGGCACAAAAUGCAUGACACAGAGGAAGCCCAGCUAAAACAGAAACAUGGGGAGGCUGGAGAGGAGGGUGAAUGGGAAUCGGCAACACAAACGCUUUAUCUCUCAGCAGUCUACCUGGACAGGAUUGUUGGGAUUGUGGCAUUCUGUGUCCCAAUGUAACUUUACACUUGCGUGUGUGUGUGUGUGUGUGUGUACGUGUUUCACUUCAGUAAAAACAAAAAGCAACAAGAAGGAAGCUUAUAAAUCUUAAGGUCUGAAACAGAGAACAAGUAAAUAAAAUCCACAGUAAAACGUGGUUCAUAGUAUGAAUUCCAUACAUCAAAUCUCAACACAUAAUUUUUCUUCUCUUUCUAUAAAGACCUCUUUAGCGGACAAGUCUUCUGUGCACUGAAUCUCAGUUUUAGUCAUUCUUACUCCCAUGAAGAUUCAUCUGUUCACCACAGAAAGGACUGUCUGGAGAGUGGAACGUGCCGUAUCCUUUUAAGUGCGCAUUUUGUUUAAAGUAUGUUAACUUACUAGUUUUCUUUUUAAGGUGCCCUGAUUUGUUUUUCCAUUUUCUCUCUUUCUUUCCUCUUUUCUUUUUUUGGCAGUGUUGAUUUACGUCUUUAAAUACAUACUCAAAAAUUACCCAUCAAGUUGCCAGAUAGGAAGCCAUAUAACAAUAAUUAAAAAAAAUAUAUCAGGGAUAAACAUAGAAAAUAAAUAGGAAUUCAAAAAUAGUCACCACACCCUGAGAGCAGGCGGCAGUUUAUCUCAAAAAGCCCAAGCAACUCAUUGUGAAGUGGUUUUAAUACAUAAACGAGUCUCA